Molecule: ribosomal RNA, 250 nt
Filed under: uncultured bacterium
Lineage: Bacteria
Description: partial 16S ribosomal RNA
Rfam family: Bacterial small subunit ribosomal RNA
Source: RNAcentral
UACGGAGGGUGCGAGCGUUAUCCGGAAUUACUGGGUUUAAAGGGUGCGCAGGCGGCCAUUUAAGUCAGAAGUGAAAGACCCCCGCUUAACGGGGGAGCUGCUUUUGAUACUGAGUGGCUCGGAUUAGGAUGAGGUCGGCGGAAUGUGACAUGUAGCGGUGAAAUGCAUAGAUAUGUCAUGGAACACCAAUUGCGUAGGCAGCCGGCUGGACCUAUAUCGACGCUGAGGCACGAAAGCGUGGGGAGCGAAC